This 541-nucleotide ribosomal RNA is filed under the name uncultured organism. Its description in RNAcentral is "bacterial SSU rRNA". It matches the Rfam family "Bacterial small subunit ribosomal RNA", at positions 774 to 1319 of the family's 1533-position model. The record is from RNAcentral.
AGGAUUAGAAUACCCUGGGAGGUCCACGCUGUUCACCUGGAUCAGUGAGUGUUAGACGGUAUUUUCUGAGAUCGCAACUGAAAACGAUAAGUCAUCCACCUGGGGAGUACGUCCUAGCAGUCGAAACUCAAAAAAAUUGACGGGUGCCCGCACAAGCGACGGAACAUGUGAUAUAAUUCGCUGCUCGCGAGGAACCAUGCCGGGAUCCAACCCCCACGCUAGCAUCCUAACUCCACCUUCCUUUUACAUUCACUUCCAAUGUGCUGCAGUAGCGUGGUCAGCUCGUGCGUUGAGGUGUUGGGCUAAGUCCCGCACCGAGCGCAACCCCUAAUUCUUGUUGCGACCAUUUCGGAUGCUGACUCUAGACCGACUGCCUUGGCAAAAAGUGAGGAAGGCGGGGACGAGGUGAAGUCAUCACGGCCCCUCCGCCCCGGGCUACACACGUGUUACAAUGGACGGGAUAAAGGUUAGCCAACCUGCGAAGGUUAGCCAAUCCCCAAAACCCAUUCUCAGUUCGGACUGGAGUCCGCCACUAGACUCC